RNAcentral lists this ribosomal RNA (460 nucleotides) under uncultured bacterium. RNAcentral's name for it is "partial 16S ribosomal RNA". It matches the Rfam family "Bacterial small subunit ribosomal RNA", at positions 338 to 795 of the family's 1533-position model. The record is from RNAcentral.
CCUACGGGUGGCAGCAGUGAGGAAUAUUGGUCAAUGGUCGGGAGCCUGAACCAGCCAAGCCGCGUGAGGGAUGAAGGUCCAGCGUAUCGUAAACCUCUUUUGUCAGGGAACAAAGGCGGGGACGUGUCCCCGGAUGAGUGUACCUGACGAACAAGCAUCGGCUAACUCCGUGCCAGCAGCCGCGGUAAUACGGAGGAUGCGAGCGUUAUCCGGAUUUAUUGGGUUUAAAGGGUGCGCAGGGGGGCUGUUAAGUCAGGUGUGAAAGCCCGGGGCUCAACCCCGGCCCGGCCGUUGAAACUGGCAGGCUUGAGUUGGAGAGAGGUAGGCGGAAUGCGCGGUGUAGCGGUGAAAUGCAUAGAUAUCGCGCAGAACUCCGAUUGCGAAGGCAGCAUGCCGGAUCCACACUGACGCUGAGGCACGAAAGCGUGGGUAUCGAACAGGAUUAGAUACCCUAGUAGUC